GUGCCAGCCGCCGCGGUAAUACAGAGGGUGCGAGCGUUAAUCGGAAUUACUGGGCGUAAAGAGUGCGUAGGUGGCUAUGUAAGUCAGGUGUGAAAUCCCGGAGCUUAACUUCGGAAUUGCGCUUGAUACUGUGUAGCUAGAGUUUAGUAGAGGGCAGUGGAAUUUCCGGAGUAGCGGUGAAAUGCGUAGAUAUCGGAAGGAACACCAGUGGCGAAGGCGACUGCCUGGACGAAAACUGACACUGAGGCACGAAAGCGUGGGUAGCAAACAGGAUUAGAUACCCCUGUAGUCC
Molecule: ribosomal RNA, 292 nt
Filed under: uncultured bacterium
Lineage: Bacteria
Description: partial 16S ribosomal RNA
Rfam family: Bacterial small subunit ribosomal RNA
Source: RNAcentral